UCAAUCCAAGAAAUUGGGAAUAUGGUACCAUUGUAUUAGCGACAAACAAAGUGCCAGCAGUCGCGGUCAUACUUUAGCUAAAAGGAAAGAAGAUCAGAGUACUUUAAGUAUAAGCAAGUUAAUGUGGUGAAAUAUUUAUCUUUCUACUAACAUACUUUUUCUGCCCACAAAAACUGACGUCAAACAGGGAUUAGAUACCCCUCUAUGCGGUACCCAUUAACCUAUUCUGGGCACUACAACCACUAGGUUCAAACCCAAAUAAUAUGGCGGUAGUUCGAAUAUUUAGGGGAACUUACUAAAUAAAUGAUAACCACCAAGAGCACAUACGUUAGUUAACUUUUAUUUUACAUACCGUCGUCGUCAGAUAUUCUAUAAUAGAGCGUCGUAAUAUAUAAAUAAAAAGACAGAUCAAGGUGUAGACUACACUAACGAUUAAGCGAGUUACUAUAAAACCUUUAUUCACUUCACGGCUUUAAUGUUGUUACCUGAAGGACUUAAAAGUAAUAAAUAUUAAGUAUAUUUUAUGAAUACCUCUUGAACUGUGCACAAAUCGCCCGUCACUCUCGAAGUUAUUCGAGAUAAGUCGUAACAAAGUAGAGGUAGCGGAAGCUGUCUCUAG
This 619-nucleotide ribosomal RNA is filed under the name Aristena rechingeri. RNAcentral's name for it is "12S ribosomal RNA". Lineage: Eukaryota; Metazoa; Mollusca; Gastropoda; Stylommatophora; Helicidae. The record is from RNAcentral.